This 360-nucleotide transfer-messenger RNA is filed under the name Marinobacter lutaoensis. Its description in RNAcentral is "Standard tmRNA". It matches the Rfam family "transfer-messenger RNA". From Rfam's summary of the family: Bacterial tmRNA, also known as 10Sa RNA or SsrA, is named for its dual tRNA and mRNA-like properties. Its role is to liberate the mRNA from a stalled ribosome. To accomplish this part of the tmRNA is used as a reading frame that ends in a translation stop signal. The record is from Rfam by way of RNAcentral. Lineage: Bacteria; Pseudomonadati; Pseudomonadota; Gammaproteobacteria; Pseudomonadales; Marinobacteraceae.
GGGGACGACAUGGCUUCGACGCCGGUGACGAACCCUUGGGUGCAUGCCGAGAUGGCAGCGAAUCUCGUUAAUCCAAAGCUGCGUUAAAAUAGUCGCAAACGACGAAAACUACGCACUGGCGGCUUAAGCCCGCCGGUCGUUCCGGCUGAGGUGUCUGUAACUCAGUUUUUCCGGAACGUCAUCGCUUACAGGCUGCUCCGUGCGUCAGAGCUCACUGACACACGGCUAAGACCAAAGAGCUCGCCUCUGGCACCCUGGCCUUCGGGUCGCCCGAGGUUAAAUCAAUAGAAGGACACUAAGCAUGUAGACCUCAAGGCUGAGUGCUGGCGGACGCGGGUUCAAUUCCCGCCGUCUCCACCA